Molecule: ribosomal RNA, 486 nt
Filed under: Penaeus monodon (black tiger shrimp)
Lineage: Eukaryota; Metazoa; Arthropoda; Malacostraca; Decapoda; Penaeidae
Description: partial 16S ribosomal RNA
Rfam family: Bacterial large subunit ribosomal RNA
Source: RNAcentral
UUUUUAAAGGGCCGCGGUAUACUGACCGUGCGAAGGUAGCAUAAUCAUUAGUCUUUUAAUUGAAGGCUUGUAUGAAUGGUUGGACAAAAAGUAAUCUGUCUCAGUUAUAAUAGUUGAACUUAACUUUUAAGUGAAAAGGCUUAAAUACUUUAAGGGGACGAUAAGACCCUAUAAAACUUAACAAUAAUUUGAUUAAAUUAUAAAUUGUUAGUAUAACUUGAUUUUAAUUAAUGUUUGUUGCGUUGGGGCGACGGGAAUAUAAUUAGUAACUGUUCUUAAAUAUUUUAUUAACAAGUAUAAUUGAAGAAUAAUUGAUCCUUUAUUAAAGAUUAAAAGAUUAAGUUACUUUAGGGAUAACAGCGUAAUCUUCUUUGAGAGUCCUCAUCGACAAGAAGGUUUGCGACCUCGAUGUUGAAUUAAGGUAUCCUUAUAAUGCAGCCAGUUAUAAAGGAAGGUCUGUUCGACCUUUAAAUCCUUACAUGAUCU